Molecule: ribosomal RNA, 496 nt
Filed under: uncultured bacterium
Lineage: Bacteria
Description: partial 16S ribosomal RNA
Rfam family: Bacterial small subunit ribosomal RNA
Source: RNAcentral
AUGAACGCUGGCGGCGUGCCUAAUACAUGCAAGUCGAGCGAACAGGUAAGGAGCUUGCUCCUUUGACGUUAGCGGCGGACGGGUGAGUAACACGUGGGUAACCUACCUAUAAGACUGGGAUAACUUCGGGAAACCGGAGCUAAUACCGGAUAAUAUUUCGAACCGCAUGGUUCGAUAGUGAAAGAUGGUUUUGCUAUCACUUAUAGAUGGACCCGCGCCGUAUUAGCUAGUUGGUAAGGUAACGGCUUACCAAGGCGACGAUACGUAGCCGACCUGAGAGGGUGAUCGGCCACACUGGAACUGAGACACGGUCCAGACUCCUACGGGAGGCAGCAGUAGGGAAUCUUCCGCAAUGGGCGAAAGCCUGACGGAGCAACGCCGCGUGAGUGAUGAAGGUCUUCGGAUCGUAAAACUCUGUUAUUAGGGAAGAACAUACGUGUAAGUAACUGUGCACGUCUUGACGGUACCUAAUCAGAAAGCCACGGCUAACUACGUG